Molecule: ribosomal RNA, 497 nt
Filed under: uncultured bacterium
Lineage: Bacteria
Description: partial 16S ribosomal RNA
Rfam family: Bacterial small subunit ribosomal RNA
Source: RNAcentral
GAUGAACGCUGGCGGCGUGCCUAAUACAUGCAAGUCGAGCGAACGGACGAGAAGCUUGCUUCUCUGAUGUUAGCGGCGGACGGGUGAGUAACACGUGGAUAACCUACCUAUAAGACUGGGAUAACUUCGGGAAACCGGAGCUAAUACCGGAUGAUAUUUUGAACCGCAUGGUUCAAAAGUGAAAGACGGUCUUGCUGUCACCUAUAGAUGGAUCCGCGCUGCAUUAGCUAGUUGGUAAGGUAACGGCUUACCAGGGCAACGAUGCAUAGCCGACCUGAGAGGGUGAUCGGCCACACUGGAACUGAGACACGGUCCAGACUCCUACGGGAGGCAGCAGUAGGGAAUCUUCCGCAAUGGGCGAAAGCCUGACGGAGCAACGCCGCGUGAGUGAUGAAGGUCUUCGGAUCGUAAAACUCUGUUAUUAGGGAAGAACAUAUGUGUAAGUAACUGUGCACAUCUUGACGGUACCUAAUCAGAAAGCCACGGCUAACUACGUG